Gorilla gorilla gorilla (western lowland gorilla) is the source of this 109-nucleotide unclassified non-coding RNA. It matches the Rfam family "Y RNA". From Rfam's summary of the family: Y RNAs are components of the Ro ribonucleoprotein particle (Ro RNP), in association with Ro60 and La proteins. The Y RNAs and Ro60 and La proteins are well conserved, but the function of the Ro RNP is not known. The record is from Ensembl. Lineage: Eukaryota; Metazoa; Chordata; Mammalia; Primates; Hominidae.
GACUGGUCUGAAGGCAGUGAGUCAACUGAAUUGAUUAUUCACAGUCAGUUACGCAUCCAAGUCUUUAUUCUACUCUUCCCCCCUUCUCACUACUGCAUUUGACACUUGU